GGUGGGAGGCCCUCGCGGCCGGGGUGACCCCAGGGCCAGGAGGUGUCCCCGCGCCUCGGUGGAUGCCCAGUGAGCUGCGGGACAGGGCGCCCCACAACUUGGUGGGGAGGCCCCGGUCGAGUCCUGCUCAAACCCGCGGGGGAACGACCGUUGGAAUGUUCGCACGUGGUGGCACAGAGAGUAGAUUUCUGGUCGUUUCCCCGGUGGUCGGUGCCGGGACCCUGUAGACACCUUGAGUGAGUGGUUUCGGGUUCAAAUCUCACGGUCUCCAGAAAGGGGUACCGUUAUUAUCUCCGUGGACAAUGAGGGAACUCAGGCUCAGGGACGUUUUCUUGCCCAAGGGCACCCCUCCGGUCUCGGUCACCUGAGUGGAAACGUAGGAAGCCUCACUUCAGACCCUCGUAUGAAACCGUCGGGGAGCAGACUUGGGAGUCAUUACUGUAAAAUUGAUGUUCUUAAUGCUGUGCCGGUGACCGUGAGGGCGUUGUCAUCACCGGGCGCUCAGUCAACUUUGCUAACGUUCGCUCUGAACUUCGUGUCUGCCUUCCGCACGGUGCCCGGCAGAUGCCGGCAGUGGGUGGGCCAUCCAGGGCUGAAACCUGGUUCUGAUCCGGAGGAGCUCGCAGUCCGGGGAGGCAGAAAGGGGCCAGGGUCACAGCUGUGCAUUUGUCAAGCGCCCAAGUCGGUAGAGACGGCCACCAGCCCGGGGAUCAGGAAGGUUGCCCACGUCACGCUAAGGGUUUUACAAAAGAGGCAAAGUGUUCUACCUCUAGAUUUUUUCCAUUUUUUUUCCCCAUAAAUCAAAACAUCUCAAAAUGGAGGCCUAACACCCUUAAAAGGGACUUAGUCUGAUCUCCGGGAGGUAGUUUUGUGCAUGAAGAAACAAAUUAAGUGUGAACUGGAGUUUUUAUUAUCCCAAAGGAUGUUAAUUUUAAACAAUACAGUCUAGUGGCAUGAGGUGUAACUAUAAAGUCAUGAUGAUCUCGUCUUUGAAUUUGACUGGUGGAUAUAAAGGGAAGUGAUUGUAGCCAGAACAGAACAGAGAGAAGGAACUUGUGUUUGGUACAGACCUGAAAAUGAGCGACAGUUAUCUAGAACAAUGUUCACCCCUCUACUAAGUUAGAGAAGCACGCAGGUGAGGCCUCUGACAGGUCAAGAGACUUCCAUGGUGACAAAGAAAUGUCCAGAACAAGACUUUGCGGUGCCCCAAGUGUCGAGUAUGGCACACUAGCAUGGACGAUCGGUAAAGGAAUGAUCUAAGCACUUAUCUGACUGUGCAUGUGUUAAAAGCCUCAAGUUCGGCUUGUUUGAAUGGGCUGUUAUCUCCGAGAAGGAUGACGGUGAGAAUGAUGGCUGGGUGGUCCAUUUUGGGAAAAGAACAGACUUACGCAGACACAGUGACUAGCCCUGGAAGGGUUUCUGCAGUAAUGUGUAAAAUUUUUGUCCACUGCUGACGUUAGACACAAUCACUGAUCCCUGGAACAGAGCUACGUUUCUCAUAUCACCUGGAAGUAAAGAGCCAAAGUCGCAGCGGAAACCCCAACACCUGUGGGACCCAGGAAACUGCGCAGAAAUCACGGCUAGAGAAGCCACGAAGACCCGUUUGCAGAUUGUUGUUCAUGUUACUGACACAGAAACUUUUUACUGAUAGCUGGUCGUAAUUGAGAAACUCUGAACUUUCACAAGGUCUCUGUUUGGCAAAAGGAGGGGAUUGUGACAACGUAAAUUCAUUAUUUUCUUGUUGCGAUGAAUUCUGACUCAAGGUAUGCUGUCUUUGGGAUUUCUGACCAAAGCCACAUUUUUACACUUCGAUUAUUCAUCUUAGUGUACAGACUCAGCCCUCUGACUUUUGACUGUUUUAAGAAACAAAUCCAUUGUCAGAAUAGAUUUGGUAGUGUCUUUCAACAGCGUGAAGCUGAGCCUAAAAAGACCAGUUGAACAAACACAUUCUGCUCUGAGGAUUUAUUUGAAAUACAGUAUUCAGUUUGCUAAGUUCUACUGGCAUCACUAGGACUAAGUAACCAAGCUGCUGACUAUGGGAAGUAAUUGUCGUUCAGGUAAUUUUGAAACAGGACUUAAGAUGCAUCAGCCAAUUCUGUUCCCACUUCAGCUCUUCGUUUGUAGGAAAAUUCUAGAUCGUUUCCUUGUUCCUAUUACAGAUAUUCUAGGAAGAAAAAUUACUUAAUUUGAGCACGAUUUGGGAUAGAUUGUAUUCCAUCGCAUCUAAGAUGUCACUAAUUGGAAAACACACCAUUAUUUUAUAUAGUUCCAAGAGAUAAAAGCCCUGCUAAUUAAAAUACGGUAUUUGUUAGCUGAAAGAUACCUCUGGGUAACAGAGGUGUUAGUUAAAAAGAUACAUCCUACAAUCAGUGAAAUGACCCCCACGUACUCGUUUCUUCUGUUCAGGCAGGUCUUACGCUUUUCUUUCCUUCUGGCUACCAAAUUUCAUAAUUAAAAAAAAGCAAAAUAAACAUAGUUUGGAUUUUUUUCUGUGGAGCACGUACAGGGCAUAGGUUUCCUCCCCGAAAACAGGCUGGCAGUGUGAGCCCCACGCCUGGUCUCCAGGCCAGCCGGGCACCGUGAAGCCCCCCCGCCGAGGCGCUGUCCUGCCUGCAGGGGUGCCCGACGCCGAGUGGCAUCUUGGUGACCUGAAGCGCUCCCCGCUUGUGCGCAGGGUUUUGAUUUCCACGACGAGGUGCCGUGUGCCAUCGUGCUCGCGCUGUGUGUGUAAAGAUUAUGGAAAAGUGCAGUCGCACACACUCUCCCCCUACCGCGUGUCCGCGUCGAGCUUAGAAUCUCACCAUGCGGAAGCCCUGAAUACACAGAGGGAAAGAAGGACAAGAGACUUCCUGUUCUGGGUGUCCGCCUAGUGAUCAA
This 2877-nucleotide long non-coding RNA is filed under the name Lynx canadensis (Canada lynx). RNAcentral describes it as "lncRNA (ENSLCNG00005010707.1)". The record is from RNAcentral. Lineage: Eukaryota; Metazoa; Chordata; Mammalia; Carnivora; Felidae.